This is a non-coding RNA of Nylanderia fulva, 248 nucleotides long. The record is from RefSeq and is a predicted model, not a curated record. Lineage: Eukaryota; Metazoa; Arthropoda; Insecta; Hymenoptera; Formicidae.
CGCGUAAACGUACACGCCACGCGGUUUGUGAUAGUGUUUUUUCUAUGAUAGUGGGUUACCGGUCUUUUUCCUGUGAUAUCUUGUCGCAUGACGGUGUGAAACAUUGCAAGAAAAUAUUAUCGCAGCUUUAUAUUCAUAUACACAACAGUAGUGUGUUCUCUACAGUAGUGCGACAAAGAAAUAGCAUUGUCACAAAAGAAAUAUUGAGACUAAUAUAUUGGGGAUCGCUUUAUUUAUCUGCAUUAUUU